UAGAUUCAAGUUAAAGAAGCAAGGAUGUCAAAUGAAAUCAAUUAUUACAAUGAAAUGUAUGAAGUAAACGGUCUUCAGUACGAUGUAGUAGAGAGUGCAGAAGUGCAUAAAAUGUUAGAAAAUGACGUUACAUUCUGUUACGAAUAUUAUUCUAAGAAUAUAUCAUCUAUAGAAGUUGUUGGUGUAUGUAACGAAAAGGUGAAAAAUUUUUCAGCAGUCAGUGCUAUAAGGAGGUUAGGUUACACAAGACUGGAUGCCGCCAUAUUAUGAUCACUGAACAGUCCAUUCAGCAGAAAAUCGCAACAUGUUCCCAACUCAUCGAUACCCCUAUGUGAGUUGUUGCGACGAACGUUAGUCGAAAUUACCCGUUGCGAUGCAAACGCGAUAUAUCAGGUGUUUCUUGAUAAACGACGUUGAUCGAUUCAGGUACCAGCGAUCGAUGAAACGAACGAAGGACGACUGCGCUCCGUAGUCUGCGGAUACGACGGAUGUGUCCCGAAUCAUUUU
Molecule: unclassified non-coding RNA, 507 nt
Filed under: Orussus abietinus
Lineage: Eukaryota; Metazoa; Arthropoda; Insecta; Hymenoptera; Orussidae
Description: eukaryotic translation initiation factor 4E-binding protein 1, transcript variant X4
Source: RNAcentral